Molecule: ribosomal RNA, 268 nt
Filed under: uncultured Thauera sp.
Lineage: Bacteria; Pseudomonadati; Pseudomonadota; Betaproteobacteria; Rhodocyclales; Zoogloeaceae
Description: partial 16S ribosomal RNA
Rfam family: Bacterial small subunit ribosomal RNA
Source: RNAcentral
CAGUUGCCAUCAUUUGGUUGGGCACUCUAGUGAGACUGCCGGUGACAAACCGGAGGAAGGUGGGGAUGACGUCAAGUCCUCAUGGCCCUUAUGGUAGGGCUUCACACGUCAUACAAUGGUCGGUACAGAGGGUUGCCAAGCCGCGAGGUGGAGCCAAUCCCUUAAAGCCGAUCGUAGUCCGGAUCGUAGUCUGCAACUCGACUACGUGAAGUCGGAAUCGCUAGUAAUCGCAGAUCAGCAUGCUGCGGUGAAUACGUUCCCGGGUCUU